UGGUGAGGUAACGGCCCACCAAGGCGACGACGGGUAGCUGGUCUGAGAGGACUACCAGCCACACUGGAACUGAGAUACGGUCCAGACUCCUACGGGAGGCAGCAGUGGGGAAUAUUGCACAAUGGGCGAAAGCCUGAUGCAGCGACGCCGCGUGAGGGAUGAAGGCCUUCGGGUCGUAAACCUCUUUCGGCAGGGACGAAGCGAUCAGUGACGGUACCUGCAGAAGAAGCCCCGGCUAACUACGUGCCAGCAGCCGCGGUAAGACGUAGGGGGCGAGCGUUGUCCGGAUUCAUUGGGCGUAAAGCGCGCGUAGGCGGCUGCGCAAGUCGGUUGUGAAAUUCCGGGGCUCAACCCCGGAACUGCGUCCGAUACUGCGUGGCUAGAGGUAGGUAGGGGAGAUCGGAAUUCCUGGUGUAGCGGUGAAAUGCGCAGAUAUCAGGAGGAACACCGGUGGCGAAGGCGGAUCUCUGGGCCUUACCUGACGCUCAGGCGCGAAAGCUAGGGGAGCGAACAGGAUUAGAUACCCUGGUAGUCCUAGCCGUAAACGUUGGGUGCUAGGUGUGGGCGGAUAU
RNAcentral lists this ribosomal RNA (572 nucleotides) under uncultured Actinomycetes bacterium. RNAcentral's name for it is "bacterial SSU rRNA". It matches the Rfam family "Bacterial small subunit ribosomal RNA", at positions 250 to 833 of the family's 1533-position model. The record is from RNAcentral. Lineage: Bacteria; Bacillati; Actinomycetota; Actinomycetes.